This 490-nucleotide ribosomal RNA is filed under the name uncultured bacterium. RNAcentral's name for it is "partial 16S ribosomal RNA". It matches the Rfam family "Bacterial small subunit ribosomal RNA", at positions 30 to 507 of the family's 1533-position model. The record is from RNAcentral.
AUUGAACGCUGGCGGCAGGCCUAACACAUGCAAGUCGAACGGUAACAGGAAGCAGUUUGCUGCUUCGCUGACGAGUGGCGGACGGGUGAGUAAUGUCUGGGAAGCUGCCUGAUGGAGGGGGAUAACUACUGGAAACGGUAGCUAAUACCGCAUAAUGUCGCAAGACCAAAGAGGGGGACCUUCGGGCCUCUUGCCAUCGGAUGUGCCCAGAUGGGAUUAGCUUGUUGGUGGGGUAACGGCUCACCAAGGCGACGAUCCCUAGCUGGUCUGAGAGGAUGACCAGCCACACUGGAACUGAGACACGGUCCAGACUCCUACGGGAGGCAGCAGUGGGGAAUAUUGCACAAUGGGCGCAAGCCUGAUGCAGCCAUGCCGCGUGUAUGAAGAAGGCCUUCGGGUUGUAAAGUACUUUCAGCGGGGAGGAAGGGAGUAAAGUUAAUACCUUUGCUCAUUGACGUUACCCGCAGAAGAAGCACCGGCUAACUCCGUG